AUUCGAAUGAGUACAAUUUAAAUCCUUUAACGAGGACCAAUUGGAGGGCAAGUCUGGUGCCAGCAGCCGCGGUAACUCCAGCUCCAAAAGCGUAUAUUAAAGUUGCUGCAGUUAAAAAGCUCGUAGUUGGAUCUGGGUAGUGCGAUCGCAUGCUGUUGCUUGUUCACGGUCUUGGUUACGAUCAGGGCAGUGGUCAGCUCGGCGUAGUGGUUGUGCAACCUUUCAGCCGUGUCUGUGUUUUAUUAAACAGGUGUCGAUGGGUUAAUGAGUAUUGUAUCUUAUUGACCUGUUGGCAUGCUUUCGGAUGCCUUUAAACGGGUGUCGGGGGCGGACGGCAUCUUUACUUUGAACAAAUUUGAGUGCUCAAAGCAGGCCUAUGCGCCUGAAAAUUCUUGCAUGGAAUAAUGAAAUAGGACUUCGGUUCUAUUUUGUUGGUUUUCGGAUCCGAAGUAAUGGUUAAGAGGGACAGACGGGGGCAUUUGUAUGGCGGUGUUAGAGGUGAAAUUCUGGGAUCGCCGCCAGACAAACUACAGCGAAAGCAUUUGCCAAGAAUGUUUUCAUUGAUCAGGAGCGAAAGUCAGAGUUUCGAAGACGAUCAGAUACCGUCGUAGUUCUGACCAUAAACGAUGCCAACUGACGAUCCGCGUUGGUUCUAUAAUUGACAUCGCGGGCAGUCCCCGGGAAACCUUUAAGUCUUUGGGCUCCGGGGGGAGUAUGGUUGCAAAGCUGAAACUUAAAGGAAUUGACGGAAGGGCACCACCAGGAGUGGAGCCUGCGGUUUAAUUCGACUCAACACGGGAAAACUCACCCGGCCCGGACACUGUGAGGAUUGACAGAUUGAAAGCUCUUUCUUGAUUCGGUGGUUGGUGGUGCAUGGCCGUUCUUAGUUGGUGGAGCGAUUUGUCUGGUUAAUUCCGAUAACGAACGAGACUUUAACCUACUAAAUAGUAGACUGGUCCUCUGUGCUCGUUCAGGGCGCGGCUUCUACUGCUUCUUUAUGGAGUAGUGUGGUCGUGAUCCGACGGGUGCGGUGCCAGUUUUUACUUCUUAGAGGGACAAGCGGCACACUUAAGUCGCACGAAAUUGAGCAAUAACAGGUCUGUGAUGCCCUUAGAUGUCCGGGGCCACACGUGCGCUACAAUGACGGUGCCAGCGAGCCUGGAAACCUGGCCCGAAAGGGUUGGGCAAACUGUUUCAUCACCGUCGUGACUGGGAUCGGGGCUUGCAAUUAUUCCCCGUGAACGAGGAAUUCCUGGUAAGUGCAAGUCAUAAGCUUGCGCUGAUUACGUCCCUGCCCUUUGUACACACCGCCCGUCGCUACUACCGAUUGAAUGGUUUAGUGAGGUCGUUGGAUUGGUGUCGUUGUAGUGGCUUUAUCGCUGCUCGACUGAUAUCGAGAA
Molecule: ribosomal RNA, 1400 nt
Filed under: Schistosoma japonicum
Lineage: Eukaryota; Metazoa; Platyhelminthes; Trematoda; Strigeidida; Schistosomatidae
Description: SSU rRNA
Rfam family: Eukaryotic small subunit ribosomal RNA
Source: RNAcentral